Non-coding RNA from Brachypodium distachyon (stiff brome), 102 nucleotides. The record is from Rfam. Lineage: Eukaryota; Viridiplantae; Streptophyta; Magnoliopsida; Poales; Poaceae.
GUCCCUUCGGGGACAUCCGAUAAAAUUGGAACAAAGCGGAGAAAAUUAGCAUGCCCCCGCGCAAGGAUGACACGCACAAAUCGAGAAAUGAUCCUUUUUUUU